This 468-nucleotide ribosomal RNA is filed under the name uncultured bacterium. RNAcentral's name for it is "partial 16S ribosomal RNA". It matches the Rfam family "Bacterial small subunit ribosomal RNA", at positions 28 to 507 of the family's 1533-position model. The record is from RNAcentral.
GACGAACGCUGGCGGCGUGCUUAACACAUGCAAGUCGAACGGAAAGGCCCUGCUUUUGUGUGGUGCUCGAGUGGCGAACGGGUGAGUAACACGUGAGUAACCUGCCCUUGACUUUGGGAUAACUUCAGGAAACUGGGGCUAAUACCGGCUAGGAGCGCCUGCUGCAUGGUGGGGGUUGGAAAGUUUCGGCGGUUGGGGAUGGACUCGCGGCUUAUGAGCUGGUUGGUGGGGUAGUGGCUUACCAAGGCUUUGACGGGUAGCCGGCCUGAGAGGGUGACCGGCCACAUUGGGACUGAGAUACGGCCCAGAGUGCUACGGGAGGCAGCAGUGGGGAAUAUUGCACAAUGGGCGGAAGCCUGAUGCAGCAACGCCGCGUGCGGGAUGACGGCCUUCGGGUUGUAAACCGCUUUCGCCUGUGACGAAGCGUGAGUGACGGUAAUGGGUAAAGAAGCACCGGCUAACUACGUG